AUGGAUUUUAGCCCAUCGAUCCUGUGUUGGAACGUGAGAGGGUUAAACAACCCAGCGAAGAGAGAUGCAGUAAGGGCGUUCAUAGCCACCGUGAGAGUGAAUAUAAUUUGUCUGCAAGAAACUAAGAUGGAAGCCAUUGACCGUUACACCGUGUUGCAAUGCCUCGGGCCGUCCUUUGACGGCUUCGCUUUCCUGCCCGCGGUAGAUACGAGAGGUGGAGUUCUCAUCGCAUGGGAUUCGACUUGCAUUGACAUCGACCAGUUCCAGGCGAACACUGAUUUCAUAUCGGGGCGUGUUCUUACGAGACAUGGAGCAUCCUGGUGGAUCUCCGUGGUCUAUGGACCGCAAGGAAACACUAGGAAAACUGCGUUUCUGGAGGAGCUCCAUGCAGCGCGCGCGCUCAGGCCUGGACCGUGGAUGAUUCUUUGCAAUUUUAACAUGAUUCUGCGUGCCUCUAAGAAGAAUAACUCGAACCUAAACAGGAGCAUGAUGAACAAGUUCCGCAGUUUUAUAGACAACAAUGAGCUCAAAGAAGUCUACAUGCAUGGGAGGAGAUUCACUUGGUCAAACGAGAGAGAUGUCCCCACCCUAACCAAGAUUGAUAGGGUGCUGGUUUCUAUGGAUUGGGACUUGGAGUAUCCGGACUGUCUCUUGCAAGCGUUAUCCUCGGGCAUAUCUGAUCAUGCUCCACUUCACCUGAACACGGGAGCUUUUUUCUGUCCUAAAAAGAGAUUUCGCUUUGAGAUUACUGGCUUAAGUUCGAAGGGUUUGAGGAUGCGAUAA
Molecule: ribosomal RNA, 783 nt
Filed under: Triticum aestivum (bread wheat)
Lineage: Eukaryota; Viridiplantae; Streptophyta; Magnoliopsida; Poales; Poaceae
Description: partial small subunit ribosomal RNA
Source: RNAcentral